AACGAACGCUGGCGGCAUGCCUAACACAUGCAAGUCGAACGAGACCUUCGGGUCUAGUGGCGCACGGGUGCGUAACGCGUGGGAACCUGCCCUUAGGUUCGGAAUAACUCCCCGAAAGGGGUGCUAAUACCGGAUAAUGUCUUCGGACCAAAGAUUUAUCGCCUUUGGAUGGGCCCGCGUUGGAUUAGCUAGUUGGUAGGGUAAAAGCCUACCAAGGCGACGAUCCAUAGCUGGUCUGAGAGGAUGAUCAGCCACACUGGGACUGAGACACGGCCCAGACUACAGUGGGAGGAAGCGGGGGGGAAGAGGAGAAAGUGGGAGAGAGCGUAAGCCAGAAAGACAGAGAGAGAGAAUAGGGGAUUAGGGUGGUAAAGCUCGGUUAACAGGGAGGAUAGAGGAAGGGUAGGGAGAAUAAGAUCCAACAAAAUCAAUG
This 433-nucleotide ribosomal RNA is filed under the name uncultured bacterium. Its description in RNAcentral is "partial 16S ribosomal RNA". The stretch from base 20 to 302 matches the Rfam family "Bacterial small subunit ribosomal RNA", at positions 47 to 358 of the family's 1533-position model. The record is from RNAcentral.